GGGGCCCUUGCUCCAUCCUACGGCCGACGAGUUCACAUGCCGAGGAAGUCGAGCGAGAAGCGUCGAGUUAGGGGAGAGAAAGGAGUAGCUGCCGCCAUGGAUGAAGCUAAUCAGGCUCCAGCCGUGGAGUCCUUCUACUGCGCUGAGAACCGGUAAUGAUAACUGGACCUUCCUUAUGUCACGUGGCUAGCUUUCCGUAGCGACUCCUUGCACUCGAUUCCGUUCACGGGAUCGCCUAGACAAUUGCCCGCCGUGAGCGCCACCAUGGGUCAGCCCGCCACUGCGGGAGCUCACGCUCUGUCGCUGCUGAUUGACGGGAGGUGGAAGAAGGUAUCCCUGGCCGUUGGAUCGGCAGCAAUGGUCCAUAUUAGAGGUGGAAUGCCGGUUUGGGUUGAUGGAGCCUAGGCCGUCUGAUCCGAAUCGAACGCGUGAGAAUCGAUUUAGAAGUUUUAAAAUCCAGGGCGUUAAUUAUGGAUCCGGCGGCCAAGAUUUCAUGUUGGGUCGAAUUAAUCUGCACCAUAGGUUGGUAAUCCAAUGGCUGUGGCGCCACGAUACCCCUUCGGCAUAGAAAGUUUGUAAAAGAGACCCUUUGCUUUCUUAAAACCAACCACCGUCCUCAUGUGUGUAAAAGUAAUUCAGAUUAGGUCCUGUUAUUUGCAUGCUAGACCCUGGGGUUUAUAAUAAUCGUGUUCGCAGUCCAGAACCAUUAGAAAUAUUUAGAAUUAGAAUAGAAAUUGGUUUUUUAUAGAAAUAAUUUCAAAAACUUGUUUAAUUCAUAUUAAGUCCAUCUUAACUCCAAUUUGACCCGUUCCAGUUGCAAUAAAUUCAUAUUAAUAUUGUUUAUCAUCUGGUAACCCUAGUUUGUUAUGAAACAUAGGUAGGAAUUAUGCACUUAAUUUCUUUUAUAUCCAACACUUAAAUCUUCAGUUACCAUAACUCUGUAGUCAUAACUCUGAUUUUAGCAAUUCUCAAACUCACGAUUUCGAAGCAACACAUAGAUCAUUAUUAUGCAGUUUGUGUUUAUGUUUGGUGUGAUGUUAAUUUUGCCUAUACACUGUUUGUUUGUAUUACUACGACUAGCGUGAGGCCGCGAGUCAUCUGAAGAUCAUCCUGGCACCUGGAAUCUCAAGUCCCAGGCAAGUUGUGCCCUUUAUCACUUCCUUUUUACGCAGUCAUGUUCUUAUUAAUCAUAAUGAUCUGCAUAGGUUAAUUUUGAUGGGACCUAAUAGGUUACCCUAGAUUUUGAUUAUCUUUAUACCUGGUUUCACUACUGGUUUUACUACUAAAUUUUUGGGUAGUGCAUGUUAUUGCUUUAUGUGGUUUUACUACUCAUGAUUACACUUUUUGUUAUCUGUUCAUUAUUUACUGUUCAUGAUAAGAUCAUUGUGUCAAUGGGAACAUGGAGAACCACCCGGGAAAACAGUGCUACCACAAGGGUUUAAUGGGACGCCCUUGGCUGAUUAACUAGGAAAGCUAGUGGAUGACUAUCUUACUCGAAAGGGGCAAGGGCAGUAGGGGAGUGGUCAGUGUAGGGAGGUCCUUGGUUGAUUUUGCUGCGAUGGCGGUCAGGCGAGGGAUUCCUGCACUGGAGCUUCCUAUAAACUGUAGCGGGUUUUCUGAAGCUAGUGGAACUUUGUAAAGGCCUUGUAGUGUUACCCUGCCUCGCCUCAUCGGUAGAGGUGUAUGGGAUUGGCCGUCUCUUGGCAGAUGGGUAACAUGACUUAUGGGUAAAGAUGUGCAACCUCUGCAGAGUGUAAAACUGGUAUACUAGUCGUGCUCACGGUCAUGAGCAGCUCGAAGACUCACAUGAUUAAUUUAUGAAACUAAAUUCAAUUCGUCAUGUGCAUUGCAUUGCAGGUGUUGUUGUUACUUUUGUUCUACUACUUAAUUGGGUUGGUAUUUACUUAUACUUAGUAACUGCUAAUAAAAUUUUGACCAACUUUAAAAGCAAUGCUCAGCUCUAACCAUCCUCUUUGGUAAGCCUUACACUUCACAUGAGCUCGCACCUUUGGUGAGUUCAUGCACAUUAUUCCCCACAACUUGUUGAGCUAUGAACAUAUGUGAGCUCACUCUUGCUGUCUCACACCCCCCCACAGGUCAAGAACAGGUACCACAGGAUGAGGCGCGUGGAGGAUACUGUGACGAGUUCGUGAGAGGUCUAGGACGUCGUCUCCCUAUCAACUUUGAGUUCCUGGACCGUUGUCUUCUUAUAAUGUAUUUAUUUAUUUAUUUUGUAUAUAACUACUGUUAUUUAGUAAAGAUGUG
This 2265-nucleotide long non-coding RNA is filed under the name Zea mays. Its description in RNAcentral is "long non-coding RNA (ZMAY_LNC001646)". The record is from RNAcentral. Lineage: Eukaryota; Viridiplantae; Streptophyta; Magnoliopsida; Poales; Poaceae.